Ruditapes philippinarum (Manila clam) is the source of this 722-nucleotide long non-coding RNA. RefSeq lists it as uncharacterized. NCBI's taxonomy places the organism in Eukaryota, Metazoa, Mollusca, Bivalvia, Venerida, Veneridae. The record is from RefSeq and is a predicted model, not a curated record. The transcript is spliced from 2 exons.
CAAAUGCAAACGCCGAUUUUACAUUUCAGCAAUUACGGACCCGAUUUCAGCUAUCACGACAUUCAGGGGAGCCAGCCACCUUCAAGCGUUAACAUUAGGAGGAGCUAUUUCUGUGAAGGCAGAUGGGGAAACUUUUAGCAGACAAGGUUUGGCUAAACAGGAUAGACCUGGUCAUUCAUCAGCAAAAAUUUUUGUACCAGCUUUUAAGACCAUCCAAGAAGAGCAUUUGCUAUCUAUCUUAAAAGAACUAAAUCCUUCAGACGUAAAGAUUAAACAAGUUUAUUUCUGACAAUGUACCUCAUUCUAAAGCUUCUUCACAAAAUUUGGCUUCAUAUAUUCUUAAAACUAUUCAAGAGGCUUAUAAAGAUAAACAUAAAAACGAAACAGCACAUUCUACAAGAGCUUUAGGUCCAAAUUCUCAACGCUGCAGAUUGGUCAAAAGAAAACACCUUCGUUAAAUUUUAUUUGAAACAAGUAACUCCAAGUGAUCUCACUGUGUAGUUCAACGUCGCUGUAUAGUUCAACCUAAGAAGAUGGAUUUUUUUCUACAUUUUUAAAUCAAAGUUUAUUCCCGACGGAUUUUGUGUGGAAUUGAUUUUUGAGAAGAUUAUAUGAUUUUAUGUAUACAUGUACAAUGUAUAUAUGGGAUAUACAGAAGUUUUAUAAAAGUUUGUUAUUCAAGAAGAAGAAUGUUUUAAAAUAAAAAAGGAGAAAAGAGAGAA